GAUGAACGCUAGCGGCAGGCUUAAUACAUGCAAGUCGAGGGGCAGCACAGGUAGCAAUACUGGGUGGCGACCGGCAAACGGGUGCGGAACACGUACGCAACCUUCCUUUAAGUGGGGGAUAGCCCAGGGAAACUUGGAUUAAUACCCCUUAAUAUUAUUGAGUGGCAUCACUUGAUAAUUAAAGCUCCGGCGCUUAAAGA
RNAcentral lists this ribosomal RNA (200 nucleotides) under uncultured bacterium. RNAcentral's name for it is "partial 16S ribosomal RNA". It matches the Rfam family "Bacterial small subunit ribosomal RNA", at positions 28 to 225 of the family's 1533-position model. The record is from RNAcentral.